Molecule: ribosomal RNA, 254 nt
Filed under: uncultured bacterium
Lineage: Bacteria
Description: partial 16S ribosomal RNA
Rfam family: Bacterial small subunit ribosomal RNA
Source: RNAcentral
UACGAAGGGGGCUAGCGUUGUUCGGAAUCCCUGGGCGUAAAGCGCACGCAGGCGGAUCGUUAAGUCAGGGGUGAAAUGCCGAGGCUCAACCUCGGAACUGCCUUUGAUACUGGCGAUCUUAGAGUCCGGGAGAGGUGAGUGGAACUCCGAGUGUAGAGGUGAAAUUCGUAGAUAUUCGGAAGAACACCAGUGGCGAAGGCGGCUCACUGGCCCGGUACUGACGCUCAGGUGCGAAAGCGUGGGGAGCAAACAGG